RNAcentral lists this ribosomal RNA (305 nucleotides) under uncultured bacterium. RNAcentral describes it as "bacterial SSU rRNA". It matches the Rfam family "Bacterial small subunit ribosomal RNA", at positions 335 to 656 of the family's 1533-position model. The record is from RNAcentral.
GUUCCUACGGGAGGCAGCAGUGGGGAAUAUUGCACAAUGGGGGAAACCCUGAUGCAGCAACGCCGCGUGAAGGAAGACGGUUUUCGGAUUGUAAACUUCUGUUCUUAGUGAAGAAUAAUGACGGUAGCUAAGGAGCAAGCCACGGCUAACUACGUGCCAGCAGCCGCGGUAAUACGUAGGUGGCAAGCGUUGUCCGGAAUUACUGGGUGUAAAGGGAGCGCAGGCGGGGAGCCAAGGCAGCUGGGAAAACUACGGGCUUAACUUGUAGACGGCAGUUGGAACUGGUUUUCUUGAGGGAAGAAGAG